GGCAACUUGCCCGAGUGGUUAAGGGGGUAGACUUAAAAUCUACUGGGCUUUGCCCGCAUUGGUUCAAAUCCAGUAGCUGUCG
Gregarina niphandrodes is the source of this 82-nucleotide transfer RNA. It matches the Rfam family "tRNA". From Rfam's summary of the family: Transfer RNA (tRNA) molecules are approximately 80 nucleotides in length. Lineage: Eukaryota; Apicomplexa; Conoidasida; Eugregarinorida; Gregarinidae. The record is from Rfam.